RNAcentral lists this ribosomal RNA (497 nucleotides) under uncultured bacterium. RNAcentral's name for it is "partial 16S ribosomal RNA". It matches the Rfam family "Bacterial small subunit ribosomal RNA", at positions 28 to 507 of the family's 1533-position model. The record is from RNAcentral.
GAUGAACGCUGGCGGCGUGCCUAAUACAUGCAAGUCGAGCGAACAGACGAGGAGCUUGCUCCUCUGACGUUAGCGGCGGACGGGUGAGUAACACGUGGAUAACCUACCUAUAAGACUGGGAUAACUUCGGGAAACCGGAGCUAAUACCGGAUAAUAUAUUGAACCGCACGGUUCAAUAGUGAAAGACGGUUUUGCUGUCACUUAUAGAUGGAUCCGCGCCGCAUUAGCUAGUUGGUAAGGUAACGGCUUACCAAGGCAACGAUGCGUAGCCGACCUGAGAGGGGGAUCGGCCACACUGGAACUGAGACACGGGCCCGACUCCUACGGGAGGCAGCAGUAGGGAAUCUUCCGCAAUGGGCGAAAGCCUGACGGAGCAACGCCGCGUGAGUGAUGAAGGUCUUCGGAUCGUAAAACUCUGUUAUUAGGGAAGAACAAAUGUGUAAGUAACUAUGCACGUCUUGACGGUACCUAAUCAGAAAGCCACGGCUAACUACGUG